Molecule: long non-coding RNA, 616 nt
Filed under: Homo sapiens (human)
Lineage: Eukaryota; Metazoa; Chordata; Mammalia; Primates; Hominidae
Description: HSALNT0253283
Source: RNAcentral
AGACUAACUUAGAUCUCUGAGUUCUAGAUUCCUCCAACUUCCUUCCAUGGAAUUACUAAAAAAAGGAACUUCUGUGUUCCUAAAGCACUAUAAGCUGAAACUAGAUGAAGUUUUUAUGAGCAAGUGCCUGAUGUAUGAGCUGCACAGAAAGUUCACCAAACCACCCAAAGCCAUUGCCAUAGGCAUCUGAACUGCAAGCCAGCACAAGAAGUCGAUGCUUUCAUACACUUUCCAAGAUGUCAGAACAAGGUUCCAAAUCAUAAUAAGAAUUCACUCCUUACCUAGAAGUAAAAAAAGAGGACACACUUUUGAACCGCUCACAUGACCACACCAUUCUGCGGGGACGUCCUUGUGUUGAGGGGAGGUCUGAAGUCCAUGGAAGAAGACGCAGUGGCUGCUGGAGCUCGUGCAGAGGAAGGGACCCUCAGAAGGACAGGUGAACUGUCGGUGGCAGGAAAAAUGGUGGGCACAUUUCCAGAAUGACAAAUGGGAGAAGCAAUCGUGACAUCUCCAGGUGGGGGAAGCAUAGGAGGAAGAGGUUGUUCUCUCAGGAAGUUGCCUCCUAGCCUCCAACGAGGCCUUUCCUAUCACUGCUCAUUCUCUUCUGUGUGUGGAU